ACGGUUAUAAAUCAACAUAUUGAUUUAUAAGCAUGGAAAUCCCCUGAGUGAAACAACGAAUUGCUGUGUGUAGUCUUUGCCCAUCUCCCACGAUGGGCUUUUUUCUAU
This 108-nucleotide non-coding RNA is filed under the name Escherichia coli. RNAcentral describes it as "antisense sRNA RprA". It matches the Rfam family "RprA RNA". Rfam says of the family: Translational regulation of the stationary phase sigma factor RpoS is mediated by the formation of a double-stranded RNA stem-loop structure in the upstream region of the rpoS messenger RNA, occluding the translation initiation site. Clones carrying rprA (RpoS regulator RNA A) increased the translation of RpoS. The record is from RNAcentral. Lineage: Bacteria; Pseudomonadati; Pseudomonadota; Gammaproteobacteria; Enterobacterales; Enterobacteriaceae.